RNAcentral lists this ribosomal RNA (253 nucleotides) under uncultured bacterium. RNAcentral's name for it is "partial 16S ribosomal RNA". It matches the Rfam family "Bacterial small subunit ribosomal RNA", at positions 524 to 776 of the family's 1533-position model. The record is from RNAcentral.
UACAGAGGUCUCAAGCGUUGUUCGGAUUCAUUGGGCGUAAAGGGUGCGUAGGCGGCGCGGUAAGUCGGGUGUGAAAUCUCGGGGCUUAACUCCGAAACUGCAUUCGAUACUGCGGUGCUUGAGGACUGGAGAGGAGACUGGAAUUCAUGGUGUAGCAGUGAAAUGCGUAGAGAUCAUGAGGAAGACCAGUGGCGAAGGCGGGUCUCUGGACAGUUCCUGACACUGAGACACGAAGGCCAGGGGAGCAAACAGG